RNAcentral lists this ribosomal RNA (301 nucleotides) under uncultured bacterium. RNAcentral's name for it is "partial 16S ribosomal RNA". It matches the Rfam family "Bacterial small subunit ribosomal RNA", at positions 509 to 807 of the family's 1533-position model. The record is from RNAcentral.
CAGUCGCCGCGGUAAUACAGAGGAUGCAAGCGUUAUCCGGAAUGAUUGGGCGUAAAGCGUCUGUAGGUGGCUUUUCAAGUCCGCCGUCAAAUCCCAGGGCUCAACCCUGGACAGGCGGUGGAAACUACCAAGCUGGAGUACGGUAGGGGCAGAGGGAAUUUCCGGUGGAGCGGUGAAAUGCGUAGAUAUAUGGAGGAACACCGGUGGCGAAAGCGGCUCUCUGGUCUGUAACUGACGCUGAGGCUCGAAAGCGUGGGGAGCGAACAGGAUUAGAUACCCCUGUAGUCCCUGUCUCUUAUAC